UUUUCAGCGGCGGACGGGUGAGUAACGCGUGAGCAAUCUGUCCCGGAAAGAGGGAUAACACUUGGAAACAGGUGCUAAUACCACAUAAGACCACGCUACCGCAUGGUAGAGGGGUAAAAGGAGCAAUCCGAUCCGGGGUGAGCUCGCGUCUGAUUAGCUAGUUGGUGAGGUAACGGCCCACCAAGGCGACGAUCAGUAGCCGACCUGAGAGGGUGAUCGGCCACAUUGGAACUGAGACACGGUCCAAACUCCUACGGGAGGCAGCAGUGGGGAAUAUUGGGCAAUGGGCGAAAGCCUGACCCAGCAACGCCGCGUGAGGGAAGAAGGUUUUCGGAUUGUAAACCUCUGUCCUAUGUGACGAAGAAAGUGACGGUAACAUAGGAGGAAGCCCCGGCUAACUACGUGCCAGCAGCCGCGGUAAUACGUAGGGGGCGAGCGUUGUCCGGAAUGACUGGGCGUAAAGGGCGUGUAGGCGGCCGAUUAAGUCUGAAGUGAAAGUCCUGCUUUUAAGGUGGGAAUUGCUUUGGAGACUGGUUGGCUUGAGUGCGGAAGAGGUAAGUGGAAUUCCCAGUGUAGCGGUGAAAUGCAUAGAGAUUGGGAAGGAACACCAGGUGGCGGGAGGCGACUUUACAGGGCCGUUACUGACGCUGAGGCGCGAAAGCGUGGGGAGCGAACAGGAUUAGAUACCCUGGUAGUCCACGCGGUAAACGAUGAGUGCUAGGUGUAGCGGGUAUCGACCCCUGCUGUGCCGCAGUAAACACAAUAAGCACUCCGCCUGGGGAGUACGGCCGCAAGGUUGAAACUCAAAGGAAUUGACGGGGCCCCGCACAAGCAGCGGAGCAUGUGGUUUAAUUCGAAGCAACGCGAAGAACCUUACCAGGUCUUGACAUUGAUGCAAAACCGUAGAGAUACGGCGUGACUUCGGUCAGCUGAAAACAGGUGGUGCAUGGUUGUCGUCAGCUCGUGUCGUGAGAUGUUGGGUUAAGUCCCGCAACGAGCGCAACCCUUAUGAUCAGUUGCUAACAGGUAGUGCUGAGAACUCUGAUAAGACUGCCGGGGACAACUCGGAGGAAGGUGGGGACGACGUCAAAUCAUCAUGCCCCUUAUGACCUGGGCUACACACGUGCUACAAUGGCGGCUACAAAGAGAAGCGAACUCGUAAGGGAGAGCGGAUCUCAAAAAAGCCGUCUCAGUUCGGAUUGUGGGCUGCAACCCGCCCACAUGAAGUUGGAGUUGCUAGUAAUCGCGAAUCAGAAUGUCGCGGUGAAUACGUUCCCGGGGCUUG
RNAcentral lists this ribosomal RNA (1285 nucleotides) under uncultured bacterium. RNAcentral describes it as "bacterial SSU rRNA". It matches the Rfam family "Bacterial small subunit ribosomal RNA", at positions 89 to 1383 of the family's 1533-position model. The record is from RNAcentral.